GAUUUGGAGAAAAGGAUAUCCUCCAACACGAAGAUCAAGCCGUCUUCUGAGGGGUUCAACUUUGGGAUGAUCGCCCUUGCUGUUAAUUAUCGCGCUCGAGAACUUGCCUCAGCACUCUGUCGUGAAAUCCCUCCAUUUUCCUUGAUGAUUGAAAUGAUUGGGUUACAUGGAUGACACCCUGGUCCCCUCUUACUGGUAUAUGGAUGUUGCUUUCGCACUGAGCCGUUCUCAUCCAUUGUUCGUUUUGAUAUAGCAUUAUCCUGCUUCUCCCAUCUCUUUUUUGUCCGUGCUGGUACACCUCAUCCCAUAAUUGUCCAUCUAUAUGUUUCUCUCUUUCUUCCCUUUCAAUAUCUCUUUCUCUGCAAGAUCUUUUGUGACUUCUCCAUAUUCUAUUCCCAAUUCGUAUUCUCGUACCUUCCCUUUCAAGUCAUGAUUUUCUAUCAUUAGUCGUCCAUGUUCUUUCGCAAGAUCUAUCCGUUCUUCGAUCAACAUCUUUUCUGUUUUCCUCCACUGCGCGAGUUUCUCCUCGUAUUCUCGUUUUGUAACAGUUGCUUCUUCGUCCUGGUUCUCAUAGUUGGGUUGUUUUCUUUCCCUUCAUCAGCUAGCCUUGGCCUUCUCUGGGAAAGAUUCAGUCAAUGCUACUGACAGAGAAGUCGUUUGAGAAGAUUUCUCCUUGAGAACUUUCGAAAUUUUGGAAGUAAAGAGUUUUUUGAGGAAUUUUUUUCGAUAGAGAUAAGGAAAUGGUAUACUGUUUAUCAAACUUCAUGGUGGACAGAAAAAUGAGAAUAACAAGUGAAUUUUGAAAAAUGAUGAUUUCUGGUUACUAACCAGCAGGUGAGGAUGAAUCCUCCCUGUUUCUAGUGCCAAAAUGUAGUUGCGAAAAAUCCCACAACUGCACUCUUUAUAAUGAUGAUAACACAAAGCUUAAGUCAUAUGGAUCAACUCAAACAUAAAUGAUAUUAUUCACCACUUUGGCACUAAUAUGAUCUUUUCAAAUACUUUGUAUUAGAUGUAUGAUGCUCUUACAAUGAUUUCAAGAUGAGUUUGUGUACAACAAUGGAGAAAUACAAGAUAAAAGCUAAGUUCUAAUGGCUUGCUUCUUUUUUCUCUUGAUAACUUUCUUAGCUUAUAUAUCUCAACUGAUCUCUCCCUCUCUAUAUCAUUUUUGAGCCUUUAUAUAGGCAAAUAAAUCAAUAGAAGACACCAUAGUUCACGUGCAAGAUCUCAGUUGACAAAUUUUGUUUCAGUUUGUCUUAUAUGCCAGGCUUUUGGAAACUGUCCAUGUUUAUCGCGUUUCUAUUCGGUCCUUCGUGUUUCUUUUGAUAGAGUUGUUGAUCGCACUAUUCUCAUCGCGUGACUAUUCUUCAUGCCUUUCCUUUAUUAGCGCAUGAUUAUUCUUCGCCUUAUUUCCAGGUAAUUGUUGUAUCUUCGUGUUUAAGAUUGUUUUGACUGGAGCAAAGUUGUAUGUUUUCCUUGUGCGAUAUUUCGCCCUUACACUUUUAGCUAAAAAACGAGAGUUCAACCACUUCAUUCCGACUUCGUAUGAUGAUUCUGUAAUCGUUCCCGUGAGAAGACAUAAAUCUGAAUUUUCAGACGACGACAAAGCUAUUGGAAUCUUGCGCACAAUUAUGUGGAGCUAUGUGUUCAGUGCUUUAAGGUGAUAAACAGUCCAUUAUGGCUUUAAGGAACAUACUUGGGUUGGUGACAAGUUGGCCAAAGCAAGAGGAUGCUUCGUGAUAUGAUUCGCCAUCAAAUUCUUCAUGCUCGUCUUCGAAUUCGCCAAUUACUUCUGUAUGAGACGAUUUUUCAGGUUCCUCAUUGCUUUUGUCCUUCUCUUCGGCACUUCCAGCAGCAAUAAC
Long non-coding RNA from Papaver somniferum (opium poppy), 1859 nucleotides. RefSeq lists it as uncharacterized. The record is from RefSeq and is a predicted model, not a curated record. The transcript has 3 exons. NCBI's taxonomy places the organism in Eukaryota, Viridiplantae, Streptophyta, Magnoliopsida, Ranunculales, Papaveraceae.